RNAcentral lists this ribosomal RNA (478 nucleotides) under uncultured bacterium. RNAcentral describes it as "partial 16S ribosomal RNA". It matches the Rfam family "Bacterial small subunit ribosomal RNA", at positions 28 to 507 of the family's 1533-position model. The record is from RNAcentral.
GAUGAACGCUGGCGGCGUGCUUAACACAUGCAAGUCGAACGGGAAAUAUUUCAUUGAGACUUCGGUGGAUUUGAUUUAUUUCUAGUGGCGGCCGGGUGAGUAACGCGUGGGUAACCUGCCUUAUACAGGGGGAUAACAGUCAGAAAUGGCUGCUAAUACCGCAUAAGCGCACAGAGCUGCAUGGCUCAGUGUGAAAAACUCCGGUGGUAUAAGAUGGACCCGCGUUGGAUUAGCUAGUUGGUGGGGUAACGGCCCACCACGGCGACGAUCCAUAGCCGGCCUGAGAGGGUGAACGGCCACAUUGGGACUGAGACACGGCCCAGACUCCUACGGGAGGCAGCAGUGGGGAAUAUUGCACAAUGGGGGAAACCCUGAUGCAGCGACGCCGCGUGAAGGAAGAAGUAUCUCGGUAUGUAAACUUCUAUCAGCAGGGAAGAUAGUGACGGUACCUGACUAAGAAGCCCCGGCUAACUACGUG